AGCAAGGUUUGAAGCAUUGUGAAGUUGAGAAGUUGAACACAGUUGUCGGUCGUCCUUGUCAUGCACGUGCUCAUCGUUUGUUGCGGACGCGGUGGUCUUAAAGGUGGUUUCAGCAAAUGCUUCACAACUACAUGGCGCGGCCAUAUCUGGCUCUGGCAUGAGGGGGAAAGGCCACUAUGGGAAGCAAGCUUCCGGUGUCGUGGGAGAAACCCGUGUGGAUACUAUUUUUUGAAGUCCUUCCAGGUGCUUAGCAGCUCGCAUGCUGUCUGCAGUGUCCCAACAAAACUCUUCCAACACAGCGAGGGCCUCCGUGGCUUCCU
This 320-nucleotide long non-coding RNA is filed under the name Dermacentor andersoni. RNAcentral describes it as "uncharacterized LOC126524496". Lineage: Eukaryota; Metazoa; Arthropoda; Arachnida; Ixodida; Ixodidae. The record is from RNAcentral.